GGCGGUUCUCUGAUGAUGUACCCUGGAAUCGGGCUCCCUCCUCUCUGGUUCCGAGUGGGUCAUCCGAGAACCACA
Molecule: non-coding RNA, 75 nt
Organism: Myotis lucifugus (little brown bat)
Lineage: Eukaryota; Metazoa; Chordata; Mammalia; Chiroptera; Vespertilionidae
Source: Rfam